GUUAUUGCAGGAAGGCACUCCGAAGGGAUAAGACUGUGGGACAUGGCUGAGGAUAAAAGCAAGAGAGACUCCAUGCGAAUGGGUACGAAGGGAUGCUGGACAAACAAUGGGUUUGUCCAAAAUGAAGACAUCCUAGAGAGGCACCUGGAUCCAGACAGCCCAGCAGAUAGCUCGCAGCACAGUGCUGUGGGCAUCCUUGACUCCUCCGAGCCCGUCGUGAAGGACAUCAGGCCCUAUGCAGGGAUGCCCAAGGACGUGCUAUUCCAGUUCUCACGCCAGGCCCGCUACCGGGUUCCCCGGGAGAUCCUCUUCUGGCUCAUUGUGGCUUCUGUGCUGGUGCUCAUUGCGGCCACCAUAGCCAUCAUUGCCAUCUCUCCAAAGUGCCUCGACUGGUGGCAAGCAGGUCCCAUGUACCAGAUCUACCCGAGAUCUUUCAAGGACAGUGAUAAGGAUGGGAAUGGAGAUCUAAAAGGUAUUCAAGAGAAGCUGGACUACAUCACAACUUUAAAUAUAAAAACUGUUUGGAUUACUUCAUUUUAUAAAUCACCCCUUAAAGAUUUCCGAUAUGGUGUUGAAGAUUUCCGAGAAAUCGAUCCUAUUUUUGGAACAAUGAAAGAUUUUGAGAGUCUGGUUGCAGCCACACAUGAUAAAGGUUUAAAACUGAUAAUAGAUUUCAUACCAAACCAUACCAGUGAUAAACAUGCUUGGUUUCAACUGAGUCGGAACCGGACAGGGAAGUAUACUGAUUAUUAUAUCUGGCAUGACUGUCCCCAUGAAAAUGGCACAACCACACCACCCAACAACUGGGUAAGUGUAUAUGGAAACUCCAGUUGGCAUUUUGAUGAAGUGCGAAACCAAUGUUACUUUCACCAGUUUACGAAAGAGCAACCUGAUUUAAAUUUCCACAAUCUUGAUGUUCAAGAAGAAAUAAAAGAAAUUAUGCAGUACUGGCUCACAAAGGGUGUUGAUGGCUUUAGUUUCGAUGCUGUUAAAUUUCUUCUAGAAGCAAAGCACCUGAGAGAUGAGGCCCAAGUGAAUAAGACUCAAGUCCCGGACACGGUCACUCACUAUUCGGAGCUGUAUCAUGACUUCACCACAACACAGGUGGGAAUGCACGACAUCGUUCGGAGCUUCCGGCAGACAAUGGACAAAUACAGCAGGGAGCCUGGCAGAUACAGGUUCAUGGGGAUGGAAGCUCAUGGAGAGGGCAUUGACAGGACCAUGAUGUACUACGGGCUGCCUUUUAUCCAAGAAGCAGAUUUUCCCUUCAACAAUUACCUCAGUAAGCUAGACACUCCUUCUGGAAACUCUGUGUUUGAGGUUAUCACAUCCUGGAUGGAAAACAUGCCGGAGGGAAAAUGGCCCAAUUGGAUGGUCGGUGGACCCAACAAUGCCCGGCUGACUUCCCGUUUGGGGAAAGAAUAUGUCAACGUCAUGAAUAUGCUUGUUUUCACACUCCCUGGAACUCCUAUAACUUACUAUGGGGAAGAAAUAGGAAUGGGAAAUAUUUUAGCCUCAAAUCUCAACGAAAGCUAUGAUGCUGAUACCCUUUUCUCAAAGUCACCAAUGCAGUGGGACAAUAGCUCAAAUGCUGGUUUUAGUGAAGGCAGUCACACCUGGUUACCCACCAGUUCAGAUUACCACACUGUGAAUGUUGAUUCAUUAUAUUCUAGAAUAUCUAACCAGGAAGCAAGAGAAUGAUGGAGGUGAAAUGAGCUGCUAUAACUUCAUAAUUUGGGAUACCAGGAAAAGACUGUAGAGAACAGAACAAAGUAUUUCAGUUAAAGCACAGAAAAACUACCCCUAAAGACCACUAAGAAUGGAGCAUCUGAAAACAGGCAGCCUCUGGAUCCAGGACCAAAGUGUUGUUGGUGGGCAGCAGAGUCAAAGGAUUCAUGCAUUCCUGAGUCCCAGUGUGCUCUGCCUGACUUCCUGGCACUGGUCGGGAGGAAAAUACAACAACCAAGAAUAUGCAACAGUGACCAUAUGUGGCCUGCAAAACCUAAAAUGUUUACUAUUCCUCAGAGAAAAAGUUUGCCAACUCCUGAUGCAGACCAUCAAAAACUGAUUCAACAGGUAUGUUCUGAGAGCCUGCUUACUAUUACCAGGCAUUGUGCAAAAUACAGGCCUUGUAAGUACGAAUAAGCAAAAAUCCCCUGCCCUGAAGUAGAUCCUAGGUUUGUGAGGAAAGGAAACAGCUACUAAGCAAUGUGGCUGCUGGUAUCACACAAGUGUACUUAAGGUACCACCACAGGAGCAGAAGAAACAACACCUGCCUGUCAGGAAGGUU
Molecule: RNA transcript, 2290 nt
Organism: Manis javanica (Malayan pangolin)
Lineage: Eukaryota; Metazoa; Chordata; Mammalia; Pholidota; Manidae
Gene: SLC3A1
Gene name: solute carrier family 3 member 1
Source: RefSeq, a predicted model, not a curated record